Lactuca sativa (garden lettuce) is the source of this 322-nucleotide non-coding RNA. The record is from RefSeq and is a predicted model, not a curated record. NCBI's taxonomy places the organism in Eukaryota, Viridiplantae, Streptophyta, Magnoliopsida, Asterales, Asteraceae.
UUUUCCCUUUUGCUUUAAUAAAAACAAAGACCUAGAACAAUCGAAUAUCGAAAUUGAUAUCUCCGCAAUCAAGAUUAACAUCUCCAAGGCAUUCAUUUCAAAAAGAUGCGGAAGUUUGUCCAUUGCUAUCGUGAAGGCAAAUAGGAAUAUACGAUAAUCGAAUCAAAUUUGAAGGGAGUAGAAACUUAUACCGAUGUUACAAUUGAAGGUACAAACGGAUAGGGUCUGAAGAUGUGACAAUUGAAGAAAUUUGAUUCUUAUGAAGAACUUAUAGAAAACCGAAAUAGUAUGAGGUGUAACUCAAAAUACUUCAAGAGCAAAG